RNA transcript from Gastrolobium bilobum, 1285 nucleotides. RefSeq lists it as uncharacterized. The record is from RefSeq and is a predicted model, not a curated record. NCBI's taxonomy places the organism in Eukaryota, Viridiplantae, Streptophyta, Magnoliopsida, Fabales, Fabaceae. The transcript is spliced from 11 exons.
AGAAGACCAGAAAAGAAGAAGAUGAUGAUGGAAAAUUGAGGUUGAGGUGAACGUUGGAGUAACCCAGUAGUAAUGGCACUGAGAGUGAGAGUGUCUUCUGUUGGGUCACCUUUUUUGCAGUUAGGUUCUACUGCUACUGCCACUGGAUUCUCAUUCUUACAUGCGUGUUCUGUUUCCAAAUUGGGUUUUCAUCCUCUGCGGCUGCAACUCAACGAAAAGUCAUCCCCAAGAAGGCUCGUGAUUCGUGGUGCUAGAACGGAGUCCAAAGGUGCUACCUUGGGCUUCAGAGCCCCCCAAUUUCAGCUUCCAGAGCCUCUUACUGGGAAGGUUUGGACAUUGGAGGAUUUUGAAGCAUAUCCAGCUCUACUGGUUAUGUUUAUAUGCAAUCACUGUCCAUUUGUUAAGCAUCUGAAAAAAGACAUUGUAAAGCUUACAAAAUUCUAUAAGGAGAAAGGACUUGCCGCCGUUGCUGUAUCUUCAAAUUCUGUAGCUACUCACCCCCAGGAUGGUCCAGAAUUCAUGGCGGAAGAAGCUAAGCUGUUUGACUAUCCUUUCCCUUACCUAUAUGACGAGUCACAGGAUGUUGCACGAGAUUUUGGAGCAAUUUGUACACCUGAAUUUAUGCUUUUCAAAAAGGAUGGUCGAAGGCCGUUUGAGUUGGUUUAUCAUGGCCAGUUUGAUGAUUCACGGCCAAGUAAUAAUGUACCAGUCACUGGAAGAGACUUGAGCUUGGCAAUAGAUCUUGUUCUAAGUGGCCAGCAAGUAUCAUCAGAGCAAAAACCUAGUGUUGGAUGCAGCAUAAAGUGGCACCCGGGGAAGAAGUUUUGAUCUAUAAAUUGUAAUUGUUAUGUUCAAGAUAGUAAUCAGUGUGCCUAGGGAUUGAGAAGGAUCGGAAAUCUCUUGAAGUGAUAAAAGUAACUUGUUCCACAAGUAAGCGUAUUGGUAAAGCUUCAAGAGGUGCCCAGAUUUCCGGUGAGUCCUCACUAGGCAGGGACACGACACGUGGCUGAGGCAGUUGACAGACCGGAUUUUGAGUGGCUGUAGGCUACUACCUUUUUGGAGUGUUUGAUGUAUUUUAGUAUUUUCGCAUUUGAUGGAUCAUGAUAUUGAUCCUUUAUUUUGUAUAUGGCCUGUAUAUGUUUUGUACAUGUCUGUCGCUUUGAUGCAUGUACAUUUGGGUAUUCAGGCACGUUAUAUGAUGAGGUAGUAUUCAGAUAUGUUUACGUGUUGGAUUGCAUGCUGUUAGAUAUAGUGGCACUGAGCCAAGUUAUGCAUGCGCCCAUGG